RNAcentral lists this ribosomal RNA (879 nucleotides) under Triticum aestivum (bread wheat). RNAcentral describes it as "partial small subunit ribosomal RNA". The record is from RNAcentral. Lineage: Eukaryota; Viridiplantae; Streptophyta; Magnoliopsida; Poales; Poaceae.
AUGGCGCCCCACAAGCCUUCCGUCGCGACGUGGCGGGUUCUGGACGCCAUGGAAGAAGGGAACUCCGACCUCACCAAGAUGCUUGAGUCCUUCUCCAAGUUUGACGAACAAGCGGCCCUGCACGACAAGCAGUUCGAGGUGCAGACCGCCUUCAACAACCAGAUCUCGCAGGAGCUGCAAGGCCUCUCGCGGCAGCUGGAUCUGACCCAGGCCGACGUGUAUGCGGCCCGCAAGGUUGUCGAGGGCUCGUCGUCUCCCGCAGGCUCCGUUACCACGAUCGCACCACCACCGCCGCCGCCGACACCACCUUCACCUCAUCAGCAGCCACAUCACAACGAUCCGCUCCGCCCCGCCUUCGCUCACGCCCGAUUGGGGGGUACGCAGCUCCUGCUCAUCCCGACUCCCCCUCUCGGCGUGACCAUGACCACGUUCACCGCGCCACCGCCCAGCCCCACACACCACGAGAGCAACUACCACAUGCCUCUGAAGCAUGAUUUUCCCCACUUUGAUGGUACCGCGCCCUACCUCUGGUUGGAUCGUUGUUUGGCGUAUUUCGAGCUCUACAAGGUGGGCCAGCAGUUUUGGGUGCCCACCGCCGCUUUCUACAUCGAGGGGCAGGCGGCGCAUUGGUUGCAGGCAUUUCGCCAGAGCCACUGCAAUUUGUCAUGGGACAUGUUCACAGUUGCCGUGCUCGAGGAGUUCGGCGUCGAUGAAUUCGAGCUCGUCAUCCACAGGCUGCUUCAGCUUUGCCAGACCGGCAGUGUCUCCGACUACCGCGUGGCCUUGGAUCCCUUCAUCAACUCCCAAGUUCUUCGUCACACAGUUUCUUCUGGGCCUGAAGGAUGGAUUGCGUGCUGCCUACGCCUGCAAGCACCGUGA